CGUCAGUUCGUACUGUGAAGCAUCCUGUUAAGUCAGGCAACGAGCGAGACCCACGCCAACAGUUGCCAGCUCGUCCUCCGGGAUGGAGGGGACGACUGUUGGGACCGCCUCUGCUAAAGAGGAGGAAGGAAUGGGCAACGGUAGGUCAGCAUGCCCCGAAUUAAUUGGGCUACACGCGGGCUACAAUGGGUGGGACAAUGGGUAUCGACACCGAAAGGUGAAGGCAAUCUCCUAAACCCAUCCGUAGUUCGGAUUGUGGGCUGCAACUCGCCCACAUGAAGCUGGAAUCUGUAGUAAUCGUGUUUCAAAUAGCACGGUGAAUAUGUCCCUGCUCCUU
RNAcentral lists this ribosomal RNA (337 nucleotides) under uncultured Methanomicrobiales archaeon. RNAcentral describes it as "bacterial SSU rRNA". It matches the Rfam family "Archaeal small subunit ribosomal RNA", at positions 1002 to 1338 of the family's 1478-position model. The record is from RNAcentral. Lineage: Archaea; Methanobacteriati; Methanobacteriota; Methanomicrobia; Methanomicrobiales.